GUGUCAGCAGCCGCGGUAAGACGAACCGUGCGAACGUUGUUCGGAAUCACUGGGCUUAAAGGGCGCGUAGGCGGGUCGAAAAGUCCGUGGUGAAAUCCCCCCGCUCAACGGGGGAACGGCCGCGGAUACUGUCGGCCUCGAGGGGGGUAGGGGCGAGCGGAACGCUGGGUGGAGCGGUGAAAUGCGUUGAUAUCCAGCGGAACUCCGGUGGCGAAGGCGGCUCGCUGGGCCCUCUCUGACGCUGAGGCGCGAAAGCCAGGGGAGCGAACGGGAUUAGAUACCCCCGUAGUCC
This 292-nucleotide ribosomal RNA is filed under the name uncultured bacterium. Its description in RNAcentral is "partial 16S ribosomal RNA". It matches the Rfam family "Bacterial small subunit ribosomal RNA", at positions 505 to 796 of the family's 1533-position model. The record is from RNAcentral.